CAUACAGUUAAGAAGCUACUCAAUAACUUACCCAUUCAGAAUGGAUCGAAGAACCGAAUGCACAAUGAUUAGAAUAUUGAACGAUGAACAGAGUUGAAGGAAAAAACGCAGAAAUUUGCAGAGGGAAUGAGAGAAAAGAAAAACGUCAGGAAGAAAGGUUUUUGGGAAAAAGGAAAAAAUUAAAUUAAAAAAAUAAGAAAUAAAAAGUUAAAUCCUACAAAAUCCCAACUCCCCCCCACAAUCUACUAACCAACCAACUCCCCCAAAAUUGACCCACUAACUCAUCCAACUACUACAGAGUACCAGUUCCAUCCAACUUCUACUGCACAAUUGGCACACACUCACAGAAGCAAAAAUUAACAUCCUUCGCUCACACGAGGGUUUGAACACAAGACCCUAAGGCAAGCUAACACCUUACCACUUGAACCAGCAGGCUCAUUCUAAUAUGAAUUAAUCGAAAAUAUAACAUAAGCCCACCCA
This 480-nucleotide long non-coding RNA is filed under the name Gossypium raimondii (Peruvian cotton). RNAcentral's name for it is "long non-coding RNA (GRAI_LNC008221)". Lineage: Eukaryota; Viridiplantae; Streptophyta; Magnoliopsida; Malvales; Malvaceae. The record is from RNAcentral.